Molecule: ribosomal RNA, 589 nt
Filed under: Clostridioides difficile
Lineage: Bacteria; Bacillati; Bacillota; Clostridia; Peptostreptococcales; Peptostreptococcaceae
Description: bacterial LSU rRNA
Rfam family: Bacterial large subunit ribosomal RNA
Source: RNAcentral
CUUGUGGGUAGCGGUGAAAUUCCAAUCGAGCCCGGAGAUAGCUGGUUCUCCCCGAAAUAGCUUUAGGGCUAGCCUCAAGGUGAGAGAUACGGAGGUAGAGCACUGAAUGUCCUAGGGGGUAUUGCACCUACCGAAGACUAUCAAACUCCGAAUGCCGUCAUCUUAUACUUGGGAGUCAGACUGUGGGGGAUAAGAUUCAUAGUCGAAAGGGCAACAGCCCAGAUCGGCAGCUAAGGUCCCUAAAUGUAAGUUAAGUGGUAAAGGAUGUGGGAUUGCACAGACAACCAGGAUGUUGGCUUAGAAGCAGCCACUCAUUCAAAGAGUGCGUAAUAGCUCACUGGUCGAGUGAUCCUGCGCCGAAGAUUUCCGGGGCUAAAACUUACUACCGAAGCUACGGCAUCAGUAAUGAUGGGUAGGGGAGCUUCCCAUACGGGUUGAAGCAUGACCGUAAGGACAUGUGGACAGUAUGGGAGUGAGAAUGUUGGCAUGAGUAGCGAGAUGUGGGUGAGAAUCCCACAGGCCGUAAACCCAAGGUUUCCAGGGGAAGGUUCGUCCGCCCUGGGUUAGUCGGGACCUAAGCUGAGGCCGA